CCCAGUGAUUUAUUUAACGGCCGCGGUAUCUUGACCGUGCAAAGGUAGCAUAAUAAUUUGCCUCUUAAUUAGGGGCUGGAAUGAAUGGAUAUACGAGGUUUUAGCUGUCUCUUCUUAGUAUUAAAAAUUGGUUUUCAGGUGAAGAAACCUGAAUUUUAGUAAAGGACAAAAAGACCCUAUUGAGCUUUAUUUAAACUAGAAAUUUUUAAGAUUAACUUACUUUAUUACUUUUAUUAAAUUUGGUUGGGGCAACAAAGAAAUAUAUAAAUUUUUCUUUAUUUAUUAGAGUUAUGUUUCGUAUAAAUGAUCUAUUAUUUAUGAUAUGUAGAAAGAGUUACCAUAGGGAUAACAGGCUAAUUCUUUUGUAGAGUUCAAAUUGAUAAAAGAGUUUGGCACCUCGAUGUUGGCUUAGGAUAUCCUGCGGGUGCAGAAGUCCGCGAGGGUUGGUUUGUUCAACCAUUAAAAUCCU
RNAcentral lists this ribosomal RNA (469 nucleotides) under Mysta picta. RNAcentral describes it as "partial 16S ribosomal RNA". It matches the Rfam family "Bacterial large subunit ribosomal RNA", at positions 1862 to 2597 of the family's 2925-position model. Lineage: Eukaryota; Metazoa; Annelida; Polychaeta; Phyllodocida; Phyllodocidae. The record is from RNAcentral.